GGGUCAGUAGGUUGGUCGUGCCACCGGUACGUACUGGUCUCACUGAUUCCUCCUUCCUGAAGAACCGUAAUGCCCUUAAUUUGGUGUUGCGGGGAAACAGGACUGUUACUUUGAAAAAAUUAGAGUGUUUAAAGCAAGCUAACGCUUGAAUAAAUUAGCAUGGAAUAAUGAAAUAGGACGAUCGAUCCUAUUUUGUUGGUUUCUAGGAUUGACGUA
Molecule: ribosomal RNA, 216 nt
Filed under: Glomeromycotina sp.
Lineage: Eukaryota; Fungi; Glomeromycota
Description: partial small subunit ribosomal RNA
Rfam family: Eukaryotic small subunit ribosomal RNA (bases 40-216)
Source: RNAcentral